Molecule: ribosomal RNA, 468 nt
Filed under: uncultured bacterium
Lineage: Bacteria
Description: partial 16S ribosomal RNA
Rfam family: Bacterial small subunit ribosomal RNA
Source: RNAcentral
GACGAACGCUGGCGGCGUGCUUAACACAUGCAAGUCGAACGGAAAGGCCCUGCUUUUGUGGGGUUCUCGAGUGGCGAACGGGUGAGUAACACGUGUGUAACCUGCCCUUGACUUUGGGAUAACUUCAGGAAACUGCGGCUAAUACCGGAUAUGAGCUCCUGCUCCAUGGUGGGGGUUGGAUAGUUUCGGCGGUUGGGGAUGGACUCGCGGCUUAUCAGCUUGUUGGUGGGGUAGUGGCUUACCAAGGCUUUGACGGGUAGCCGUCCUGAGAGGGUGACCGGGCACAUGGGGACUGAGGUAGGGCGCAGAAUCCUACGGGCGGCAGCAGGGGGGAAUCUGGCACAAUGGGCGGAAGCCUGAUGCAGCAACCCUGCGUGCGGGAUGACCGCCUACGGGUGGAAAACCGAUUUCGACGGUGACGAAGCGUGAGUGACGGUAACGAGUAAAGAAGCACCGGCUAACUACGUG